RNAcentral lists this ribosomal RNA (496 nucleotides) under uncultured bacterium. RNAcentral's name for it is "partial 16S ribosomal RNA". It matches the Rfam family "Bacterial small subunit ribosomal RNA", at positions 29 to 507 of the family's 1533-position model. The record is from RNAcentral.
AUGAACGCUGGCGGCGUGCCUAAUACAUGCAAGUCGAGCGAACAGACGAGGAGCUUGCUCCUCUGACGUUAGCGGCGGACGGGUGAGUAACACGUGGAUAACCUACCUAUAAGACUGGGAUAACUUCGGGAAACCGGAGCUAAUACCGGAUAAUAUAUUGAACCGCAUGGUUCAAUAGUGAAAGACGGUUUUGCUGUCACUUAUAGAUGGAUCCGCGCCGCAUUAGCUAGUUGGUAAGGUAACGGCUUACCAAGGCAACGAUGCGUAGCCGACCUGAGAGGGUGAUCGGCCACACUGGAACUGAGACACGGUCCAGACUCCUACGGGAGGCAGCAGUAGGGAAUCUUCCGCAAUGGGCGAGAGCCUGACGGAGCAACGCCGCGUGAGUGAUGAAGGUCUUCGGAUCGUAAAACUCUGUUAUUAGGGAAGAACAAAUGUGUAAGUAACUAUGCACGUCUUGACGGUACCUAAUCAGAAAGCCACGGCUAACUACGUG